UGACUGACGACUGGAUAGUGGCGGACGGGUGAGUAACGCGUGAACAAUCUACCCCUAAGACCGGGAUAACACCGGGAAACCGGUGCUAAUACCGGAUGUGCUCACGGUGGGGCAUCCUGCUGUGAGGAAAGGGUUUACCGCUUAGGGAUGAGUUCGCGUCCCAUUAGCUAGUUGGUGAGGUAACGGCUCACCAAGGCGACGAUGGGUAGCCGGCCUGAGAGGGUGGACGGCCACACUGGGACUGAGACACGGCCCAGACUCCUACGGGAGGCAGCAGUGGGGAAUAUUGCGCAAUGGGGGAAACCCUGACGCAGCGACGCCGCGUGAGCGACGAAGGCCUUCGGGUCGUAAAGCUCUGUCAUAAGGGACGAAGUCCCCUUUAUGGGGGUGACGG
This 394-nucleotide ribosomal RNA is filed under the name uncultured bacterium. RNAcentral describes it as "bacterial SSU rRNA". It matches the Rfam family "Bacterial small subunit ribosomal RNA", at positions 78 to 475 of the family's 1533-position model. The record is from RNAcentral.